This is a long non-coding RNA of Aphis gossypii (cotton aphid), 915 nucleotides long. RefSeq lists it as uncharacterized. NCBI's taxonomy places the organism in Eukaryota, Metazoa, Arthropoda, Insecta, Hemiptera, Aphididae. The record is from RefSeq and is a predicted model, not a curated record. The transcript has 3 exons.
AUAACAUAUUUAUAGUGAUAUCAUGUUUUAUGUAUUAAGUCAAGCUAUUGUAAGAACAAAACGAUUUUCCAACACGACUUUCUUUUUAUUCAAUCAUACACAAUUAUUGUAGAUCAGACUCGUACUUCAAUUCAUUUAUUACGAUUCGUGCAUAAUAUAACCGACAGCUAUUAUAGUUCAAAAACAAUUAAAUAUAAAUUGCCAAAACGUACAACUUUGCACUCAAUCAAAUGGUAUGACUGUAUGACUGUAUAUAAGAUACUAAAAUAAUGGUGGAUCAUAUUUUUCAAUAAUAAAUGAUAAUAAUAUAAUAAGUUUUCUUCGCUUUAAAUGACAAUACAGAUUUCAAAUUUGAUAAAAAUGCUUGAAGUAAAUAAAUUAAUACAAGUUAUCUGCGGGAUCAUCGAGAACGAGGAGGAAUACAGGCCUAUCAAACUAUCAACUCUGCAAUAUAGGUACCUAUAUACUACGCCUAAAACUAAGCCAUUCGCCCAUUCGUGUUCGUGUACAUAUUAUACAUAUAAAUAUUAAUAUAUUGUAUUUAUAAUUUAUUGUAUAGGCCAAAUUCUGAAAUAUUUUAGAAGUAAAUUUGAAAAUCUAAACUACCUACUAUUAGUUUAAACUUUAAAUGAAACUCAAAUUAAAACAACAUACUCUAUAAUAAUUACACAGUAAAGAAUUCUAAUAAUACUUAAAUAAUAAAAACAAUUUAAUUUGUUUAAUAAUUUAUAAUUAGGAAAGUAAAUUUUAAUACGUAGGUCGUAGGUAGAUAAGUAGAUAUUACACUAUACUCGUGUAAUGUGUUGUAUAGAUAUUACCAUUGAUUAUAUACAUAUGUAUAGUCAAUGAUAUUACAUAAAUAGGUUUAUAUGCUAAUAUGCCAUUAAAUUAUAACAAUUAGAUUUAAACAUAAGG